Molecule: ribosomal RNA, 420 nt
Filed under: bacterium
Lineage: Bacteria
Description: partial 16S ribosomal RNA
Rfam family: Bacterial small subunit ribosomal RNA
Source: RNAcentral
UGGGGGAUAUUGCACAAUGGGCGAAAGCCUGAUGCAGCGACGCCGCGUGGGGGAUGAAGGCUUUCGGGUUGUAAACCUCUUUCGCUAUCGAACAAGGCCCGCUUAGGGUGGGUUGAGGGUAGGUGGAGAAGAAGCGCCGGCUAACUACGUGCCAGCAGCCGCGGUAAUACGUAGGGCGCGAGCGUUGUCCGGAAUUAUUGGGCGUAAAGGGCUUGUAGGCGGCUUGUUGCGCCUGCUGUGAAAACGCGGGGCUUAACUUCGUGCGUGCAGUGGGUACGGGCAGGCUUGAGUGUGGUAGGGGUGACUGGAAUUCCAGGUGUAGGGGUGGAAUUCGCAGAUAUCUGGAGGAACACCGAUGUCGAAGGCAGGUCACUGGGCCAUUACUGACGCUGAGGAGCGAAAGCAUGGGUAGCGAGCAGG